RNAcentral lists this long non-coding RNA (3772 nucleotides) under Sus scrofa (pig). RNAcentral describes it as "lncRNA (ENSSSCG00035079854.1)". Lineage: Eukaryota; Metazoa; Chordata; Mammalia; Artiodactyla; Suidae. The record is from RNAcentral.
ACUGGAUAAAGAAUAGAGCAGCAGGGCGGUUUGGCUUGAGGGGAGCAUGGGGAGAGGUGAUUGGAAAAUGGGAGAGUUGAGUUUUUGCACAGGUGUAACUACACUAAAUGCCUCCACAAGAUCGAAAGGGCUGGGAAGACGCUGGCGCAUGCCCAGUGGAAGGGUUGGUGGUCCUAUCUGGUCUUAACCAGCUCAGUUUGAACUGGAUGAAGCGGACUCUGAGUUCCUGGGAAACAACCCUGGUGAAUGUUUUACUGUCCAGGCCAUGUGCCACUUGGAGGGCAGUUGAGUCUUAACCUGGAUCAGUAAAGGCAGGUGAAUUGGAUUUAUUCCACGGUGGGUACACAGAGGCAUCGCCAGGCCAGACAAGCACCUCGGAAGGUGGAGACGACUGUGAUCCUUCGAUACGUUGGCCCUGUCACCGCAGAAAGAGCAGUGUCGGGACAGUCGUGCAAGGUCAGUGCGAGUCUGGGAGAGCAUGCCUGCCCACUGGGCUCAGUGGGGAUUAACGGAGGGGUGAGUGAGAGCCGCCAGGGGGGCCAAGGGGACGCCCUGGCCGAGCCCUUAGGCUGUGCCAAGGCACAGAGGCCCAGUGGGGCAAGGGAGGAGCUUGGGGAGUGGUGCCCCGCAGCUAUUGCUCCUAAAGAGAGAGCGCUCCAGGGUCCAGGGGGCUCUGGCCAGCUCGCGUGGGGUUGGGGGAGGAGGCCAAGGCCGGGCCCACGGAAUCUGCCUGCACCUUGGUUUGUUCUUCAAAAGAAGAAGAAAACAGCCUGGUUUGGGGUUUGUUUUGGUUGCUAAGUGGCGGUGAGGGCUUUGCCCAGCCAGUUGACCAUCCCCCACCCCGCCCUGGGCCUCCGUUUCCCCCUCUGUAUACAAGGUCAUGACUUAAACUGUGUUUAGCUCAGCAUCACAUAGAGAUGUUAAAUGCUGAUUCCUGGGCCCCAUCCCCAGAGGUUCUGAGUCCUCAGAGCCUGGGUAACGAGGGCCCCAGGGGCUUCUACUGCAGGUGGACCUUGCGUUUUAGCAGCUAACUGAACAGUCUUGAUGGUAAGAAUCACCUGGGGAGUUGUGACAAACACAGCUUCCCUCCCCUGAAGAUUCUGGCCCAGUGAGCUGGCCUAGGGCAGUGAUUCUCAAAGUGUGCUCCCAGGAGCAGCAGCCGAGGGCACAUCCCGGGAUUUGUUCCACUUGCCCAAUGUCAGGUCGCACAUGAGAGCUACGGACUAAAAAUCUCCAGGGCCAGGGCCCCGGCUGUUUGAACAAACUCUCCAAGAGAGUCUGAUGUCUGCUGAUGUGACGCGGUGACCUCAGGCCUAGGGUCUGUAUUGCUUAACAAUCACAGCAGGUGAUUUGUAGCCUUGGGCCAGGGGGACAUCCUUGCUGGCAGGAAGGACACUUCUAGCUCCUAUUGCCCAAGGCUCCUGAAAGGCCUGGAUUCUCCCCCACUUGCCUCUGAGUCUCUCCAGAACAAGGCGACUGGGAAGCAGUAUUUUCCCUUUACGAGCAAGUCAUUUUCAGAAGAGCUGGGGGCCGGGUCAUUAAAACCCCCACCUCACAAGUGGCACACACACAUGUACUCCUCGACACCCUCACUCCUGUGCUCCCCUGAGAAGAAGUGGAGGCCACGGAGAAACUUCCAGAAUCCAAGAUCUGCCGAAAAUGAGGCUGGGUCAGCAGGGGCCACUUCCUUUUAUUAAUUCAUUCCUGCCAGCUGACAUCUCAUUUUCUGGAAGCCGACCUGUGGAGCCUGGCUCCCUGGCCCCUCCCACCAGCUCCCACUCGCUCUCCUUCCUCCCUGGCGGGGGAGAGCUUCCCGCUAAGAAUAACAAGGAGGUCUGAGCAGGUACCUGGCCCACCAGGCAUCAGAAAAAUGAACCGCUCCCUCUGCUCCCCUUUGAACGCAUCUUAAAAUUCUGGGGCAGGUCCAUUAGCUCAAGGCUGACAGGGAAGAGAGGUUCCUGGCCUCUGGGUCCGGGCUUCCAGAGGGCCCUCUUUCCUGCCCCUUUCUCAUCGUCUCACCUGUGUGUGCCUGCAUCCACACACUUCAUUCAUUCAUUCAUUGAGCACAUCCUUGUGCCAGCUAAUGUGCUGGGAGAUGAGGAUGCUCGCAGUUGUGUGUGACCUGAAAAAAUACCUUCAACCUCAGCACACAAAACUUGACCCCAGAGCUUCAUUAAAGCUUCCCUACGGCGGCGGCGAUCUCGUGGGAGGGGGGAUGGGACUUUGGGAGAGGGUGAGGGAGGGCAUUGCGAAAAGAACUUGUCUGACUUGAGUUCAGGCUGCUAGAAACCUGUUUAUUGAGCAGUCACUGUGUUCCGGGAACUUCACUGGCGGCUCGAGCGGCGAUACAUAGUGUGACUGCGAAUUCCGGGGCCUUCAGGGGAGGAUACCCCGGGGGGUUCUGCUUUUCCGAGGGGCAUUGCGGUAUCGAGGGCAGAGCCCAGGUGUGCGGUCAGGAGAAUGGAGUGCUGGUCUGGCAGGUGCCCUGGCCAGCUGUGAUCUUGCAGAAGUCACUUUAUCCGGAAGCCUCGUACCUUCUGUGGUGGCGGAAGGAGCACAGUUUAACUGGGGAUCAGUUCACACAAUAGAUGACAAAUUAGCAGAGUGUCCAUGGUGUCAAGGGUUCUGGAGGAAAGCAGAGUUAGGGGUUAGGAAGGACUGAGGGAAGGGGGUGCUGCUAUUUAUACAGAAUUCCCGGAGGUCUUUUAGUGAGUGACAGUGGUACGUGAGCAGAGCUGAAGGGAAAGGGGGAGGGAAUUCACAGGAAAGAGCACACCAGGUGGGGGGAAACUGUAGGUGCAAAGACCCUGAGGUGGGUGUGUGCUGCCAGGAGCAUCAGGGUUACUGAUGAGGGGAGAGCCAAUUGUUGACAUUUCAGAAAUCUUGACAGCUACUUUUAAAUACAACCAUGAUUUGAAAGUACAUAAACGUAUAUCAAAAAGAAAGGUAAUAUAUUCAAAACCUAUCACUUUCUAAUUAUUUAGCUACAUUUUUUUCUGAUCCACAUUCUUCAGGUUAUGGACAUCUAUUGCGGGCAUAUAGUGGAAAUGCCAUAUGAUAGAGGGCGACUGACUAUCUCUCCUCAACCCUGCCUUCAGUGCCAUCAUGUCAGGAGCUUGAAGUUGCCCAUGCUGGGAGUAUUUAUACCAUGGAAAUUGGUAGACACUACCAGUCAUGAUUGCUCCUCUGCUCCUCCUCCUGUGAACAUUUUCCAGCUGACCAAUGCCUGCCGUGCCCUGCAGAGUCGAUCUGAGGCAGGAGUUCCUUUUCAAGUCUGCUCUCAGAUGGUGGUCCCUGAGGCUAGAGGAGGAGAUGGGGUUUGGUGUUGAGGAAAAGGGCCUGGCAGAGACAAGUUGGGGUGUGCUGGGCUGGACCUUCAGCCCCACUCCCUCCCUGGGCCCCCAUAUUUUUCCUGGAGCUGCCUCAACUGCGUCGUUAUCUCUUUCUAUCCCCACUUCCCUAGGCAACUGCAGUCAAUUCCUUAUUCCCACAGUGCAGUUCAGGAGACAGAGCUCCCGGGAGUGCAGCCCCUCAGGGAUAAUGAUAGAGAUAGUGAUUAACAUUCACUGCUGGAGCUCCCAUUGUGGCUCAGCGGGUUAAGGACCCAGCGUAGUCAAUCCCUUGCCUCACUCAGUGGGUUAAGGAUCCCAGGCUGCAGCAUCGGCUGCAGAUGCAGCUUGGAUCCGAUGUUGCCCUGGCAUAGGCCUCAGCUGCAGCUCCCAUUUGACCCCUAGCCCAGGAACUUCCACAUGGCGCAGGUGUGGCCAUAAAA